Molecule: non-coding RNA, 63 nt
Filed under: Arthrobacter sp.
Lineage: Bacteria; Bacillati; Actinomycetota; Actinomycetes; Micrococcales; Micrococcaceae
Source: RNAcentral
AAGUGGCCAAGCAGGCACCCGGACGAGGUGCGCCGUACCCGGCCAGUGACAAGACGGCGCUGG